AUUCCUGCAUACAAUACGUUAAUACUUGAGUAUAAUUGAGGAUAGCAGAAUUUUAUUAGGAGGAGUAAAAUCCAUAAAUCAAUGAAGGAAUGCCAGAGGCGAAGGCGGCUAUCUGGGUUAUUACUGACGUUGAGGAACGAAAGCAUGGGUAGCAAACAGGGUUAGAUAUUCUGGUAGUCCAUGCUGUCAAAGAUGAGUGUUAAUAUUGGGUUAUUCUGAUAUACAGCUAACGCGUUAAACAUUCCGCCUGGGUA
RNAcentral lists this ribosomal RNA (254 nucleotides) under Lingulaulax polyedra. Its description in RNAcentral is "Lingulodinium polyedra partial Bacterial small subunit ribosomal RNA". It matches the Rfam family "Bacterial small subunit ribosomal RNA", at positions 617 to 879 of the family's 1533-position model. The record is from RNAcentral. Lineage: Eukaryota; Dinophyceae; Gonyaulacales; Lingulodiniaceae.